GAGCACUGUUCGUGACCUGCUGGUCUGCCUGUGGCUGGCGGGUUCCAUUCCAGUGCCACAGCAGUUCCAGCGCCAUGCAACUGACUGCCUGGUGGCUCUCGGUUUCUGGUCUAGGAGACAAAG
Small nucleolar RNA from Hippopotamus amphibius kiboko, 123 nucleotides. The record is from RefSeq and is a predicted model, not a curated record. Lineage: Eukaryota; Metazoa; Chordata; Mammalia; Artiodactyla; Hippopotamidae.